UUGGAGGGCAAGUCUGGUGCCAGCAGCCGCGGUAAUUCCAGCUCCAAUAGCGUAUAUUAAAGUUGUUGCAGUUAAAAAGCUCGUAGUUGAAUUUCGGGACCAUCAUGUCGGUCGUGCCUCGGUACGUACUGGCAUUGUUGGUUUCUCCCUUCUGACGAACCAUGAUGUCAUUUAUUUGGUGUUGUGGGGAAUCAGGACUGUUACUUUGAAAAAAUUAGAGUGUUUAAAGCAGGCUCACGCUUGAAUACAUUAGCAUGGAAUAAUGAAAUAGGACGUUUGAUUCUAUUUUGUUGGUUUCUAGGAUCGACGUAAUGAUUAAUAGGGAUAGUUGGGGGCAUUAGUAUUCAAUUGUCAGAGGUGAAAUUCUUGGAUUUAUUGAAGACUAACUACUGCGAAAGCAUUUGCCAAGGAUGUUUUCAUUAAUCAAGAACGAAAGUUAGGGGAUCGAAGACGAUCAGAUACCGUCGUAGUCUUAACCAUAAACUAUGCCGACUAGGGAUCGGAUGAUGUUAAUUUUUUAAUGACUCAUUCGGCGCCUUACGGGAAACCAAAGUGUUUGGGUUC
Molecule: ribosomal RNA, 564 nt
Filed under: uncultured Glomeromycotina
Lineage: Eukaryota; Fungi; Glomeromycota
Description: SSU rRNA
Rfam family: Eukaryotic small subunit ribosomal RNA
Source: RNAcentral